UCGUUACAAAGGAUAACGAAGAAACAGUAUUAAAACCCGUGAUUUGAAAACAGUCAAUCUAGAGUCUAGAGUCUAGACCACACAUGCCAAAAGAAAAGCUCCUUCCAUUCUCUCGUUAUCCAGAUCAUCGAAGGUCUCAAGAACUCCUCUCGGCUUCCAAUUUUAAGGGAAAAAAAAAUUAAAAAUUCGAGAUCUGUUUUAGAGAGUGACCGAACUCCAUCUCCAUCUCCAUCUCUUGAGAGGCACUGUCCAGAUUCGAGAGGGAUUUGAUGUUCUGCUUUGAUUCUCCUAGAGGGAUUUCGCCGCCCGGAUUGAAAGAGGGAUUUCUCCAACCGUCAGGACAGAGACCAAGAGGUUAAUUCUUGAUGCACUGCUCCUAAAUUUGAAACAGAAGUUGAAACGAAGCUAUUGAAGCCUAGAGGUUUUCGCGUUCAUUUGAGUUUAAGGUAUGGCUUCAUUCUGCUACAAGAUAAUAGUGAUUAAUGAAAAAAUGAAAAUAUUUCUCUCCAGGGACAAUCAUACGGAGGAAGUGAGAAAAGUAUAAGGUCCAUUGUUGGAAAGAAAGUUAAAUUCAUUAGGUUUAAUGCUUCUUUUUUGAUUUCAUGUGGUUGUUUAAUAUAGGAAAAUGAUAAAAUGAAAAUAAUGACAAUAAAAAAGAAGAUAAUAAAAAAAAAAAAAAAAAUUGAAGUUGAAAUUCCCAAUAUUGAUGAAUCAAAAUUCUAAUGAGAGCCUCAGUCAUGUUUAGAAUUAGUAAGGAAUGAAAUGAAUGGUUAGGCUGCGAUGUUUUUACGCCAACUUAAUAUCAUUUAGUGUGUUUAGUGCAAUCAAAUUCUUGUUCUUCUUAUUCUGCAUUGCAGGUCCUAAGCUGGAAACCAACAAACCAAAUCUGUUUAUUUUCCAAACUUUGCAAAUUCUACCUUCCCUCGCCUAAGACCAUCUACCUUGGCUCUGCAAAAUGGAGAAACUGCUAAGAAUAUUGAGGGGACCUGAACAAGGGUACGUUUAUUAGUGCUUCAGAAGAUGAAACUGGAGUCCUGGAAUUCAUUGACCAGAAAAUCGCCAGAGCUACAAUGAUCCCAAGGUCCAUGGGGAUAUAUCUUUUCCUAUUACUGAUGAAUUAUAAAAUUAGAUAAAUAAUAAGGAUAUGUGAAGGUUUACAAAUCAAAUACACGCCUUUCGAAUAGUUAAGGAAGUCAUGUUAGACGAGAUGGUGCUGAUAGAUGCCAGGUUAAUUCAACACAACCUAACCUGAACAAAAGGAGUGCACAUUCCAUAUUUGAUAGAGUAACCAAGUACACUGGUAGUCAUUUUUUUUUUGACACAUCCAUUGAAAGUGAUCAAGUCAGGUACGCUUGUCCCACUGACAAUCAAUAAUCAUACUGUAACAUAAUUACACUUACCAUCUCAUAGAUAAGUUCUUGGACCUAGGAACUCUAAUAAGCAAAGUAUUUGCUCACAUUCCCAAGGGAUAAUUUCUAUUUUUCCUCUUUCAUUUUAAGAAGCCCACUAACUUGAUUGUUGGUGUGUCUCCUUUGGAAGAUCUCUCGGGGACCUUUUGAACAUUCUUUCUUGUGUGCAGGUCCUUUUAGUGGAGACGUAAUUGUGUAACCUCUUUAAUGUGAGAUUAAAUUUUGGCUUCA
Hevea brasiliensis (rubber tree) is the source of this 1640-nucleotide long non-coding RNA. RefSeq lists it as uncharacterized. Lineage: Eukaryota; Viridiplantae; Streptophyta; Magnoliopsida; Malpighiales; Euphorbiaceae. The record is from RefSeq and is a predicted model, not a curated record. The transcript has 3 exons.